Molecule: ribosomal RNA, 331 nt
Filed under: uncultured bacterium
Lineage: Bacteria
Description: partial 16S ribosomal RNA
Rfam family: Bacterial small subunit ribosomal RNA
Source: RNAcentral
CCUACGGGUGGCAGCAGUGGGGAAUAUUGCACAAUGGGGGGAACCCUGAUGCAGCGACGCCGCGUGAGUGAAGAAGUAUUUCGGUAUGUAAAGCUCUAUCAGCAGGGAAGAAAAUGACGGUACCUGACUAAGAAGCCCCGGCUAACUACGUGCCAGCAGCCGCGGUAAUACGUAGGGGGCAAGCGUUAUCCGGAUUUACUGGGUGUAAAGGGAGCGUAGACGGUUAUGCAAGUCUGAAGUGAAAGCCCAAGGCUCAACCAUGGGACUGCUUUUGAAACUGUAAAACUGGAGUGCAGGAGAGGGAAGGGGGAGUUCCAGGGGAGGCGGUGAA